This 281-nucleotide long non-coding RNA is filed under the name Pelobates cultripes (western spadefoot toad). The record is from RNAcentral. Lineage: Eukaryota; Metazoa; Chordata; Amphibia; Anura; Pelobatidae.
CUGACAAUCUAGGAUUCUUCUUCACCUCAUUGAGCAGUCUGCGCUGUGCUCUUGCAGUCAUCUUUUCAGGACAGCCACUCCUAGGGAGAGUAGCAGCAGUGCUGAACUUUCUCCAUUUAUAGACAAUUUGUCUUACCGUGUACUGAUGAACAGCAAGGCUUUUGGAGAUACUUUUAUAACCCUUUCCAGCUUUAUGCAAGUCAACAAUUCUUAAUCGUAGGUCUUCUGAGAGCUCUUUUGUGCGAGGCAUCAUUCACAUCAUGCAAUGCUUCUUGUGAAAA